UGGAUCGAUGAUGACUGCUGGGUGGCGUAUGAAUUGUGUAUGAUGAAUGCGUGAUUGGAACUCUGAGGUCCAA
Molecule: small nucleolar RNA, 73 nt
Organism: Capra hircus (goat)
Lineage: Eukaryota; Metazoa; Chordata; Mammalia; Artiodactyla; Bovidae
Source: Ensembl